GAAUGUGUUGCUAGCUUGCCCAGUGGCAUCCUCUGAGGGCAGACAGAAAGAAAUCCUCACCACUACUACCACCCUGGGUUCUAGUCAGGAAGUAACUCAGACCUCAGUCUAUCCUCGAUCUUGCUGGUUUCUUUACCCCUGGAGGCUAGGACCUGCUUCUACCAGGACUUAUUGCAGGGCAUCUCUGUGCUCUGUAGUUCUGUUGUACUUCCUGACCUUGGUGAGCUCCUAUGUGACACAAAGGAUCCUAGUGCCUUAAUGCUGCAAGUUAAUGGUGUCCCUUCAUGAAGGAGGGGACUGGAAACAAACAAAAUUGGGUAUAAGAAGACACACACAACAGUGGGAAAAGUGUCUGGGGGCGGUUAUCUAGUUGGUGCAUGGAGCCCUGCCUGGGGAGGCACAUUUUAACUAACUCCAAAUGGGCGAGAAGAGCUGGAAAUGUGUAACCCAGGAGGAAAGCCCUAAGGCUGGAGUUGCCCUUUGGUUUGGAGAACCAAAGACCAUGUGGCAGGAUUCAGUGGGUGGAGGAAGAAGGCCAGGGGUUAGGGUUGAAAAGGGAGAUGGACUGUGUGUGGUGCUGGGGGUGAGAGCCGUGGGCAGAGUAACAGACACCCACUUCAGUGGGAUAGUUUCCCAUAAUACAUCUGCAUCAUCUGCCAGGACAUCAGCCAUAGCAAUAGAUGGCUUCUCCUCUUCCCCAGGCAGUGGCUUCUGGAUUCCCCAACUUUUGUAUCCCUUAGCUUAGGCUACCUUGAGUUCAUGGCAGCACACAGCAUUAACAGCAGCCAUUUGCACCCUCUAGUGCCAUUAUCUGUGUAAGCUUAAGGUUAUGGGACCCUUAGUCCUACAGUGACAAGUGUUACAGCUCUUCUAUAGGGUUAGAGUGUCAGAACCCCACAGCCUCACACUUCACCAGUGUUAACAGUUCCUGCAUGUGGUGUGUCUGAGCCCCUUGACUCUCAAGUCCUGACAGCUCUGUGGAACUCUUCAAGCUCUUCACAGCCUUCUCUCCUUCAGCCUUAAUUCCUUACUC
RNAcentral lists this long non-coding RNA (1033 nucleotides) under Mus spicilegus (steppe mouse). RNAcentral describes it as "lncRNA (ENSMSIG00000023068.1)". The record is from RNAcentral. Lineage: Eukaryota; Metazoa; Chordata; Mammalia; Rodentia; Muridae.